AGGAUUUUAGUUUAAAUAAAACAUUUGAUUUGCAUUCAAAAAUUAUUGUUAAUCAAUUUAUCUUA
Molecule: transfer RNA, 65 nt
Filed under: Apodemia mormo (Mormon metalmark)
Lineage: Eukaryota; Metazoa; Arthropoda; Insecta; Lepidoptera; Riodinidae
Description: tRNA-Ala
Source: RNAcentral